CCCUAGCCCUGAUAGCAACGGAAAUCCUUUUUUGAGGUUUUUACCGAAAAAAAGAUUGUAGUGAAUAGCAGGAAAUAGC
Small RNA from Flavobacterium psychrophilum JIP02/86, 79 nucleotides. It matches the Rfam family "Flavo-1 RNA". Lineage: Bacteria; Pseudomonadati; Bacteroidota; Flavobacteriia; Flavobacteriales; Flavobacteriaceae. The record is from Rfam.